This 72-nucleotide transfer RNA is filed under the name Ricinus communis (castor bean). It matches the Rfam family "tRNA". From Rfam's summary of the family: Transfer RNA (tRNA) molecules are approximately 80 nucleotides in length. The record is from Rfam by way of RNAcentral. Lineage: Eukaryota; Viridiplantae; Streptophyta; Magnoliopsida; Malpighiales; Euphorbiaceae.
GUCUCCAUUAUCUAAUGGAUGGGAAAGAGGUCUUCUAAACCGUUGGUAUAGGUUCAAAUCCUAUUGGACACA